AUUGAACGCUGGCGGUAGGCCUAACACAUGCAAGUCGAACGGCAGCACAGUAAGAGCUUGCUCUUACGGGUGGCGAGUGGCGGACGGGUGAGGAAUACAUCGGAAUCUACUUUUUCGUGGGGGAUAACGUCGGGAAACUUACGCUAAUACCGCAUACGACCUACGGGUGAAAGCAGGGGAUCUUCGGACCUUGCGCGAUUGAAUGAGCCGAUGUCGGAUUAGCUAGUUGGCGGGGUAAAGGCCCACCAAGGCGACGAUCCGUAGCUGGUCUGAGAGGAUGAUCAGCCACACUGGAACUGAGACACGGUCCAGACUCCUACGGGAGGCAGCAGUGGGGAAUAUUGGACAAUGGGCGCAAGCCUGAUCCAGCCAUACCGCGUGGGUGAAGAAGGCCUUCGGGUUGUAAAGCCCUUUUGUUGGGAAAGAAAAGCAGCAGGUUAAUACCCCGCUGUGCUGACGGUACCCAAAGAAUAAGCACCGGCUAACUUCGUG
Molecule: ribosomal RNA, 492 nt
Filed under: uncultured bacterium
Lineage: Bacteria
Description: partial 16S ribosomal RNA
Rfam family: Bacterial small subunit ribosomal RNA
Source: RNAcentral